This 227-nucleotide long non-coding RNA is filed under the name Phoenix dactylifera (date palm). Its description in RNAcentral is "long non-coding RNA (PDAC_LNC012365)". Lineage: Eukaryota; Viridiplantae; Streptophyta; Magnoliopsida; Arecales; Arecaceae. The record is from RNAcentral.
GAUCUUGAGCACCCUUGGUCCAAUUGCAAUCAACUCCUUGAUCCAUCUCCAUUGACGUGCAAGUCGUGCUUGUAUAGGUAUGCAUCGAUCAACCAUUGACGUCCAAACACAUCACAGAUUAUAACCCAGAUAACUAUGAAAAUAAAACAAUAGUUACAUCCCUUUUUCAUGAGACACGCAGAUCUCUAAUACAUCGAUUUAAGAUGCACGCAGGCAUCUGAAUUUCU